UACAGAGGGGGCAAGCGUUAUUCGGAAUUAUUGGGCGUAAAGGGCGCGUAGGCGGCCUGACAAGUGGAAGGUGAAAUCCCUCGGCUUAACCGAGGAACUGCCUUCCAAACUGUUUGGCUUGAGCCCGGGAGAGGCGAGUGGAAUUCCCAGUGUAGCGGUGAAAUGCGUAGAUAUUGGGAGGAACACCAGUGGCGAAGGCGGCUCGCUGGACCGGUCCUGACGCUCAGGCGCGAAAGCGUGGGGAGCGAUCCGG
This 253-nucleotide ribosomal RNA is filed under the name uncultured bacterium. RNAcentral's name for it is "partial 16S ribosomal RNA". It matches the Rfam family "Bacterial small subunit ribosomal RNA", at positions 524 to 776 of the family's 1533-position model. The record is from RNAcentral.